UGUGUGUAUGUGAGUAUAUCGAGAUAGAACAUGGAAGGAGAAAAAUUCACUCCUUCAACUAUAACUAGAAAUUCAGCCAUUUGAGAGUGAAUUAGGGCUGAAUUCUUAUGCAUGUGAUGGGUUUCUUAAACAUCCAAGUGUUCUCUACUUAAGGAGUGAAGGAAGAAAGCACGAGCCAAUCCGGGUCGCAAGCAAUGCAAGGUAAAGGUAAAUUGCAUGCUUAGGAAUGGCGAGCUUGGGACGAACACAUCUCAAUGCCCUUUAUGCGCUUCCGGUUAUGUUUAAUGUCAAACGGGUCAAAACUCUUUUGGGUUGUAAAUGCCACUUUUAGACUUAAUGUCUUUUGUAAGUAAGUUAAAUUGGUAGUUGUGGUUUGGUAGUUUGAACAAUGUUGCGUGAAACGCUUUGAUGGCUACGAAUUUUAUAUUUAACCAUAAGGGUAUUUUGGUAAAAAAAUUUGUUACGGUAUGGAAAUUCAAAUUUUAU
Molecule: long non-coding RNA, 486 nt
Filed under: Helianthus annuus (common sunflower)
Lineage: Eukaryota; Viridiplantae; Streptophyta; Magnoliopsida; Asterales; Asteraceae
Description: sRNA HanXRQr2_Chr10g0458551
Source: RNAcentral